RNAcentral lists this ribosomal RNA (301 nucleotides) under uncultured bacterium. Its description in RNAcentral is "partial 16S ribosomal RNA". It matches the Rfam family "Bacterial small subunit ribosomal RNA", at positions 509 to 807 of the family's 1533-position model. The record is from RNAcentral.
CAGCAGCCACGGUAAAACGUAGGGUGCAAGCGUUAAUCGGAAUUACUGGGCAUAAAGCGUGCGCAGGCGGUUAUAUAAGACAGAUGUGAAAUCCCCGGGCUCAACCUGGGAACUGCAUUUGUGACUGUAUAGCUAGAGUACGGCAGAGGGGGAUGGAAUUCCGCGUGUAGCAGUGAAAUGCGUAGAUAUGCGGAGGAACACCGAUGGCGAAGGCAAUCCCCUGGGCCUGUACUGACGCUCAUGCACGAAAGCGUGGGGAGCAAACAGGAUUAGAUACCCCCGUAGUCCCUGUCUCUUAUAC